RNAcentral lists this ribosomal RNA (232 nucleotides) under uncultured Lactobacillus sp. RNAcentral describes it as "partial 16S ribosomal RNA". It matches the Rfam family "Bacterial small subunit ribosomal RNA", at positions 129 to 355 of the family's 1533-position model. Lineage: Bacteria; Bacillati; Bacillota; Bacilli; Lactobacillales; Lactobacillaceae. The record is from RNAcentral.
CCCAAGAGAUCGGGAUAACACCUGGAAACAGAUGCUAAUACCGGAUAACAACAGAUGAUGCCUAUCAACUGUUUAAAAGAUGGUUCUGCUAUCACUCUUGGAUGGACCUGCGGUGCAUUAGCUAGUUGGUAGGGUAACGGCCUACCAAGGCGAUGAUGCAUAGCCGAGUUGAGAGACUGAUGGCCACAUUGGGACUGAGACACGGCCCAAACUCCUACGGGAGGCAGCAGCA